Molecule: non-coding RNA, 31 nt
Filed under: Mus musculus (house mouse)
Lineage: Eukaryota; Metazoa; Chordata; Mammalia; Rodentia; Muridae
Source: RNAcentral
UAAACAAGGGUACAGGUGAUAUUCUCAAGGU